AGACGUGGCCGACGCGGGUCAAAGUUUAGUUAUCUGUUCUUAUCAGCUUAAUAUCUGAUACGGGUUGUAUUUGGACCCAAGAUAUUAAACUUAUUUUUGCAAGUUGGCGGAGCCCUUGACGCUUGCUUCACCUCCGCCGCUGGUCAGCCCGGUAUUAUAAUCUUCGGGAUUAGCUCACGGUUU
Molecule: small nuclear RNA, 183 nt
Organism: Dermacentor silvarum
Lineage: Eukaryota; Metazoa; Arthropoda; Arachnida; Ixodida; Ixodidae
Product: U2 spliceosomal RNA
Exons: 1
Source: RefSeq, a predicted model, not a curated record